AGAGAUCAUGGCUCAGAAUCAACGCUGGCGGCGUGCCUAACACAUGCAAGUCGUACGCGAAAGGGGCUUCGGCCCUGAGUAGAGUGGCAAACGGGUGAGUAACACGUGGGUGACCUGCCUCAGAGUGGGGGAUAACGUCCCGAAAGGGACGCUAAUACCGCAUAACAUCCUGCCUUUGGAAAGGCGGAGAUCAAAGCCGGGGAUCGCAAGACCUGGCGCUUGGAGAGGGGCCCGCGUCUGAUUAGCUAGUUGGUAGGGUAAUGGCCUACCAAGGCUACGAUCAGUAUCCGGCCUGAGAGGGCGGACGGACACACUGGGACUGAGACACGGCCCAGACUCCUACGGGAGGCAGCAGUGGGGAAUUGUUCGCAAUGGGCGCAAGCCUGACGACGCAACGCCGCGUGGAGGAUGAAGAUCUUCGGGUCGUAAACUCCUGUCGAGCGGGAAGAACACCUUUCGGGCGAAUAUCCCGGAAGGCUGACGGUACCGCUAAAGGAAGCCCCGGCUAACUCCGUGCCAGCAGCCGCGGUAAUACGGGGGGGGCAAGCGUUGUUCGGAAUUACUGGGCGUAAAGGGCUCGUAGGCGGCCAACUAAGUCAGACGUGAAAUCCCCAGGCUCAACCUGGGAACUGCGUCUGAUACUGGAUGGCUUGAAUCCGGGAGAGGGAUGCAGAAUUCCAGGUGUAGCGGUGAAAUGCGUAGAUAUCUGGAGGAAUACCGGUGGCGAAGGCGGCAUCCUGAACCGGCAUUGACGCUGAGGAGCGAAAGCUAGGGGAGCAAACGGGAUUAGAUACCCCGGUAGUCCUAGCCUUUAACGAUGAAUGCUUGGUGUAACGGGUAUCGAUCCCUGUUGUGCCGAAGCUAACGCAUUAAGCAUUCCG
Molecule: ribosomal RNA, 881 nt
Filed under: uncultured Acidobacteriota bacterium
Lineage: Bacteria; Pseudomonadati; Acidobacteriota
Description: bacterial SSU rRNA
Rfam family: Bacterial small subunit ribosomal RNA
Source: RNAcentral